AGGAGUUCCCUGGUGGUGCAGCAGGUUGAGGAUACAGCAAUUGUCACUGCUGUGGCAUGGUUCGAUCCCUUGCUCUGGAACUUCUGGAUGCCAUAGGUGUAGUCAAAAAAAGGGGGGGAAAGAGUUCAACUUCCUCUGUUGGACUCCUUUUGGAAUCAUGGCAACCCACAAUGAGAUCUUUCUCCAUAUUCCUAGGACCCCAAUUUUUUUAUACCACUCAUUUGACACAUUAAAUCCUACCUUAUGUUAUGAAUUAUUGUUUUGAAAUAUUAUAGGCUCUUUGAGAACAAAUAAAAUAGCACGCAUUUCUUUGUAUAUCUCAUAGGGCUUAACAAAUUAUUAAGUAGUCAGAUUUGCUUGAAUGGGAGGAGGGUGGUCUCAGGGAUGCUUCUAGUAAUGACCACUGUUGAAGAAUAUCUAUUGAGAAUUUGCUCCAGCAGAAAAGAGUCCAUGGGAUCAACUAAAAAGCAAAAAAAUCAAAAUCUUGAGCUACUAAAGUUAGGUACUAAAAAGGUUAACAAAAUUUCUGCAAUCAUUGUAGUUAAAUUUUAAAGGUUUUGAUUUUUGUUGUUUCUAAGAAGCUUAGAGAAUUAACUGAUGUCCUAAUGUUACAUAAUACAGGUUCACAGUAAGUAGUAUGUUUAUUCUUCAAAGAACUUUGGAAAUCUUUACUAAUUAAUUAACUCAUUAAUCACUAGCUAAACUAGCAAGCCAAAAAGAAAUUGCAAAAAGAAAGGCAAUUGGUUGUAGCAGUAGCAAUCUAAAAAUCUAACCAUAUUCCAGAGAGUUGACAGACGGAUGGCUGUGCAUUUGGUGAUGCAUCAGGGUUGGGAUUUCACUGUCUGCUCAGUGUUUGGUAUGGAGUUUAUCUGACUGUGAUAUUAGACACUGUCUUGCUGAAUAUUGCCUGUUCUUACAAAUAGCUCACAAUGCCAGUUUUUCACACACUAGAUACUGGGAUUUUUCAUUUCAUAUAGCAGAAUGGCAUACAAAGGAAAACAUUCUAUAGUGCCCUUUAUGCUGAAGCACCAAAAUGUACUUCAAGAAGCAUGUAGGAGGGAGAUGGGAAGAGGGAGGGGCAGAAGAGAUGAUUCAAAAGAGCAAUUCCCAGUUUUAGUAAAUGAACCAAAUCCUAGAAUUAGAAAGAAAAUACUCAAAUUGGAAGCUAAAUAUGUCUGACAAUUUUAAAUCUAGGAUAACAGCAACUUAUAAAAUUGAGGCUUAAGACAAAAGCCAAUAUUCCCAGAUCCCUCGACCUACAUUUUGAAAAGCAUUUAUCCAGUUGGUUUCUAAGAAUUCUGGGGUUGAAACAAACAAACAAGGAGGUGUGGGUGGGUGUAGGGCACCCUCAGGGUAAUGCUUGAGCCCACUAAUUUACUCACCUUCAAAGCAAUUUUGAAAUCAAUUCAGCAUUUCCUGGAUAGGUUGACGUCACCCUGCUCAAAUCACAGUGAAGGACUGAAGAGCUGGCUUUGUGCUCAUUAAAAUUCUGUAUGCUCCACCAUGCCGGAGCCAGUGCCUAUUUUCAGGACCACCAUAAAACAAAGUAAUAAGUGUUCUUGUCUCUGGUGUCAAGGGAGAGCAGAGAGGAGAAACAUGGGAUGAGGGCCACAGAGGGGAAAGGGAGGAAGGAAGCAUGUAAUCUGCUAAUGUUUACCUAGUUCUAGCAAUAAAAUUAAGUGUCAGCCAUAUACAGUUAAUAAAGCAUCCAAAACACAGAAGUGAAUUCAAGAGUACUCCAAGAAUCUAAUCUGAGAGAAACUGGCCAGGAAAGUAGUAACAGACAAUUUAAUCUGGGGAAAAUGACUUUACACCAAGGAAAUUGAAAAUACCAUUCUCAGUUCUUCUUUCAUGAUUUUCAUUAAGUAGCUUUUCUUCUCACAACCCAUUUAUAAAGGAAAAUACCUGUCAUCCAUCCUGGUACUAUUUGCAUAGACAUAGAACUUAGGUCUUCCAAAUAUAUGUUUACACACACAUACACACACACACACACAUAUAUAUAUAUGUAUUUACAUAUAUAUAUAUAUAUUCGUGUAUAUAAACAUGUAUGUAUGCACAUACACAGUAUAUAUAUAUAUAAAUACAUACCUGUAAACAGGACCCUCAGGUCACGACUGCCAUAUAGAGGGACCCUGGAUCUGAGGGUUGCCUCUGCUCUGAUGCAACAAGGCGGGGUGGGUAUCUAAAGCAUUAAGGUUUUUUUGGUUUGUUUGUUUGUUUUGCUGCAGCAUGUGGAAGUACUCAUGCUAGGGAUGGAACCCAGGCCACAGCAGUGGCCUGAGGCACAGCAGUGACAGAACUGGAUCCUUAACCCACUGAGUCACAAGGGAACGCCAGCAUUAGGGUUUUAUAGAGCUAUGGGAGCAAAGUUGCCAUCUUUUUCCAAUGUAAGAGGUAUCUUUUAUGCAACUGUGUCAUUCAGCUAGGCCUGCAUAAACCCUGUGGCUUGUCCUCCAGUGGAGGGAGUAAACUUUGCAAAAGGAAAGCUCUCCCAUGGACAGACAGACAGACAUUGCUCUCAGAACAUUCUCAGAGAAAUGUACGCCCUGUGCUUUCUUCAGUCCCACACGAUGGGUAAGAGCAAGUGCCCACUAAGAAAAAUAACCUCAAGUUCAGGACAGGACCCUCAUUCUGUUUUUGAACAUUCCAUAUCAGUAUUCUUUGAACAGACAAACCCAACUCCAAAUAUUAUUAAAAAUUCUAAGUGAAUUUUUAAUUUUUCUUUCUUUCAGCUACUUCUUUCUUCUUUCAGCCACUCUUCACAGGCACAUGCUCACAUACUCAUGCAUGCAAACGUACACUCACACACACACACACACACACACACGUGCAUACGCACAGCCCAUGGGACCAGCAUGUGGUAAAAAGCAAGAUUUUUAUUCUAAGGAGGGCAGGCUGACCUUUCAGAGUUCAUCCCAACAAAAAUGUGCAGCCUCUUAUCUCUCUAGAAUGGGAUUCAGUGUUCAACGGCAAUGAAAAAUUGCCUAAAGACUCAGCUUCCCUCUCCUGCUGGGUCAAGGAGAAAGGAAGAUGGGACAGUUCUUCCAGGAGAGGUUGGCACUGUGCCCACUUGGCACAGAAAGUAACCAGCCACCUCUCUGCCCACAUCCUUUAUUUUCAGAGACAGUCGGUUUUAGUUCUCUGCUAGAGGCUGAGACCUGGCCCAGAGCAGCCAGGAGAAGGGGACCUCCCAUGUAGUCAGAAUGUUUGGGGAUGGGAAGUACACCAUGAGAAUUCAUGCCACGGAGUCACAUGAAGGAGACACCCUCAGUCCUUUGUUUUCCUGGCCUAGCUCAUUUCUCCCUUUGAAAUGGCAUGCUGGGGCCACAGCCCAGUGGGUCAGGUAUGGCAGAGGUCCCUGGCACCCAAGGAACAAAAGAGGUCUCUCUCUUACACAGCAACCAUUGUCAAAUCUUAGCACUGCCACUUCCCAUCUCUGUGACCUGGGGCAAGUCACUGAACCUCUCAGUGUUUCAUCUGCCUCCUCUACAAAUGGGGACAGGAACAGUCCCUCCCUCAUAGGAUACCUAGAAAGACUGAAUGAGGCAAAUUUCUAAGGGCUGAGGAAAAGUGUCUAGGACACUAUAAACACGCAUGAGUGUUAGCGAUGAUUAUCCCACCUGACUUCCCUUUGACCUGCUCUUGGACUUGGAGGGAAGAACAAAGGAGAACCAGGCUACCACAAUCAUUUUCCCACCCUUGGGCCCCGGUAGUGGCAGAUCGGGGGGGUGGGGGUGGGGGUGGGGGCUGACACUGCCUGCAAAUCUCACCCCUACUGCCUCUGUGUUUGCUUCUCUGGAGUGAAUAGAAGCAGAGCUGUUGGCUGCUUCGGCUGAAAGGCACAGACAUCCUCAUUACUCUGAAAUAAUCUAAUUAAGAGAGUCUAUGAAAGGAGGCAUGGGCGCUGAGGAAGAACCUGGUCUGCUUACUGAAUACAGGAGUUCAGGCUCUGGAAACGUUUUGAAUGGAAUGCUGAGCUUUAUUAUUAACAACAUGAGGGAGAAAAUAGAACCACUGAGACAUUUUUCUUCAUCGUUGAGUUCCUACUGCC
This 4051-nucleotide long non-coding RNA is filed under the name Sus scrofa (pig). RNAcentral describes it as "lncRNA (ENSSSCG00000057252.1)". The record is from RNAcentral. Lineage: Eukaryota; Metazoa; Chordata; Mammalia; Artiodactyla; Suidae.